This 157-nucleotide small RNA is filed under the name Pongo abelii (Sumatran orangutan). RNAcentral describes it as "processed transcript". Lineage: Eukaryota; Metazoa; Chordata; Mammalia; Primates; Hominidae. The record is from RNAcentral.
AGAAUGUCACUGAUGCUUAGCACCCGUCCGCUCUCCAUCCUGCCUCUGUGUUCUACAGCAGCUACGCACACACGGUGGUAUCUGUGAGAAGCUCUGUGGACUCAAAGGUUUUCUCCCUGAAAGGCAUAGCCCAGGCCCGCUGAUUCAUCAGAAUCAG